CUUACAUGAUGUUCAAAUAUCGCCCCAGUCUGAUUGUUGUGAAUGAUUCGAUAAAAUCUGAUAAU
Small nucleolar RNA from Cephus cinctus (wheat stem sawfly), 65 nucleotides. NCBI's taxonomy places the organism in Eukaryota, Metazoa, Arthropoda, Insecta, Hymenoptera, Cephidae. The record is from RefSeq and is a predicted model, not a curated record.